AAAGAGUUAAUUAAUUAAUAAAGUUAAUGUAGAAAAAUUAUUUUUAAUAAUUAAUUUGAAAUGAAAUGUUAUUCGUUUUUAAAUAUAUCUAGUUUUUUUAGAAAAAAAUUUAAUUUUAAAUUUUAUAUAAAAUUUAUAUUUAUUAUAUUAAUAUUUAUUUUUAUUAAAAUUAUAAAAUUUUAUAAUUUAAGGGAUAAGCUUUAAAUUAAAAUUUUAUAAUUAUAAUCAUAUUUUAAUAAUUAAAAUUUUUAUAUUUUAUAUUGAUAAUAAAUUUUAUUUUAUUAUAAAUAAUUUUAAUUAAAAUAAAAUUUAAAUUUAUAAUUUAAUUUUUUAUAAAAAAUUAUUUUUGAAUUUUUUAAAUUUAUUAUAAUGAUAAAAUUAGUAUAUUAAUAAAUAUUAAUUUGAAUAAUAAGUUAUACUAUUAAAUAAUUAAUUUAAAGGAAUUAGGCAAAUUAUUAUAUUCACCUGUUUAACAAAAACAUGUCUUUUUGAAUUUAAUUUAAAGUCUAAUCUGCCCACUGAUAAUAUUAUUAAAGGGCUGCAGUAUUUUUGACUGUACAAAGGUAGCAUAAUCAUUAGUCUCUUAAUUAGUGACUUGUAUGAAUGAUUGGAUGAGAUAUAUUCUGUCUCUAAUAUUAAUUUUUAGAAUUUAAUUUUUUAAUUAAAAAGUUAAAAUAUUUUAAAAAGACGAGAAGACCCUAUAGAGUUUUAUAUUUAUUAAUUUAAAUUAUUUAUUAAAAAUUUAAUAAUUAAAUUUAUAAAUAUUUUAUUGGGGUGAUAAAAAAAUUAAAUUAACUUUUUUUAAUAAUGAACAAGUAUAUUUGCAUUAAUUGAUCCAAUAAUAUUGCCUUAUAAGAAAAAAUUACCUUAGGGAUAACAGCGUAAUUUUUUUUUUUAGUACAAAUAAGAAGAAAAGUUUGCGACCUCGAUGUUGGAUUAAGAUAAAAUUUAAAUGUAAAAGUUUAAAAUUUUUG
This 974-nucleotide ribosomal RNA is filed under the name Idaea sp. ja001. RNAcentral's name for it is "partial 16S rRNA". Lineage: Eukaryota; Metazoa; Arthropoda; Insecta; Lepidoptera; Geometridae. The record is from RNAcentral.